GAGCCAGAAUACCCUUGAAUUAUUAGAAAUAGUUCUAAAAUAUCCUCCUUCCGUCUUUAGGCUCUAAAAUGUCCUUUCAUGCAUCUAUAUAGCUCAAAAAUAUCCUUCCACUUAACACAUGGCAGCUUGUUAUAAGUUAAAAAUUUAAUUAUUUUCAAAACCCAACCUAAUUUUCAUUUAAACUAUCCACCCAUCUACCCAGCCCAAUGACCCGACCCAAACAUAAUAACUAAAGGAAAAAAACUAUUCUAGACAACAACAUUUCAUCUUCUCAAAAAUUGAAUCGCGAUUUUUGAAUUUCAGCAAAAAUCAUAGUGAACAGCUCCUUGUCUAUUUUCCAGUUAACCUCAUCGGUGAAGGAAGGGGCAAAUCCAUUUUUCUAAACCUAAUUUCCUUCAAAGACGAUCAACAAAACGUCUUCAUCAUUUUGAAGCGAAAUUUUUUGACAAAAGUGACGGCGAAGCGGAAUGCUUCUGUUGACACACAUACAUAUCUUCAUCAUUUAUCGGCAAUUCAGACCCUGGUGACUGAGAAUGUGUGGUCCAUCGACGAGCGGGUGUUGAGUAUCACAGGGAUCUGCUACGGAAAAUGGGGAACGUGCAGGUUCUCCAUGAAGCAAGAAGUGCAAAUGUAGCAGCUGAUAGAUUAGCGAAGGAGGGCAAUAAGUUAGCACGUGUUUGUUUUUGCGAAGAAUGGGAAGUUCCCCCAUUGUUUAUCCGGAACCAGCUGGAAUUAGACAAGUCAGGAACUUGCCAUGUAGAUGUGUGUCAGCCUAACUCGUUAAAUUGUGAAUAAAUUUUAAUACUUAAUUAUUAAAGAAAAUCAUUGAUGCCAAUAA
Molecule: long non-coding RNA, 838 nt
Organism: Capsicum annuum
Lineage: Eukaryota; Viridiplantae; Streptophyta; Magnoliopsida; Solanales; Solanaceae
Exons: 2
Source: RefSeq, a predicted model, not a curated record